RNAcentral lists this ribosomal RNA (468 nucleotides) under uncultured bacterium. RNAcentral describes it as "partial 16S ribosomal RNA". It matches the Rfam family "Bacterial small subunit ribosomal RNA", at positions 28 to 507 of the family's 1533-position model. The record is from RNAcentral.
GACGAACGCUGGCGGCGUGCUUAACACAUGCAAGUCGAACGGAAAGGCCCUGCUUUUGUGGGGUGCUCGAGUGGCGAACGGGUGAGUAACACGUGAGUAACCUGCCCUUGACUUUGGGAUAACUUCAGGAAACUGGGGCUAAUACCGGAUAGGAGCUCCUGCUGCAUGGUGGGGGUUGGAAAGUUUCGGCGGUUGGGGAUGGACUCGCGGCUUAUCAGCUUGUUUGUGGGGUAGUGGCUUACCAAGGCUUUGACGGGUAGCCGGCCUGGGAGGGUGACCGGCCACAUUGGGCCUGAGGUACGGCCCAGACUCCUACGGGAGGCAGCAGUGGGGAAUAUUGCAGAAUGGGCGGAAGCCUGAUGCAGCAACGCCGCGUGCGGGAUGACGGCCUUCGGGUUGUAAACCGCUUUCGCCUGUGACGAAGCGUGAGUGACGGUAAUGGGUAAAGAAGCACCGGCUAACUACGUG